Molecule: small RNA, 28 nt
Filed under: Bombyx mori (domestic silkworm)
Lineage: Eukaryota; Metazoa; Arthropoda; Insecta; Lepidoptera; Bombycidae
Description: piRNA piR-bmo-1576933
Source: RNAcentral
UGAUAUAGAGUAACGACAAUUUGCUGAU